CUCUCUCUCUCUCUCUCUCUCUCUCUCUCUCUCUCUCUCUCUCACACACACACCGUGUGGUGUCUUUCUUGUUUACCCCUUUUAUUUGUCAUUAUAACUUUUUUUUCUUUCUUUUUUGGCAGCUAACGCCAUAUUCUGGGGAAGACGGCGAUGUAGACCCGUGUGUCUGUUCAAGCUCUGUAUGUGCGGAUGUGUAGUGAAGAACGGGUGUCCGACCUGCGCGUGCAAAUCGUGUACAUUUUCCUAGCAAUAAAAAAUGUCCGCCUCUGUAUCACAAGGGUUAAUUCAGAUUCAUACCACGUGACAAACUGAUGACGUCAAAAGAAUACAGCCAGCAUAAAAAUAAAAAAUAAAAUUACUUA
Gigantopelta aegis is the source of this 362-nucleotide long non-coding RNA. RefSeq lists it as uncharacterized. The transcript is spliced from 3 exons. NCBI's taxonomy places the organism in Eukaryota, Metazoa, Mollusca, Gastropoda, Neomphalida, Peltospiridae. The record is from RefSeq and is a predicted model, not a curated record.